CUAGUGGUUAGAGUGUAGGGGCGACAGGUAGCCUAGUGGUUAGAGUGUAGGGGAGACAGGUAGCCUAGUGGUUAGAGUGUAGGGGCUACAGGUAGCCUAGUGGUUAGAGUGUAGGGGCAACAGGUAGCCUAGUGGUUAGAGUGUAGGGGCAACAGGUAGCCUAGUGGUUAGAGUGUAGGGGCAACAGGUAGCCUAGUGGUUAGAGUGUAGGGGCGACAGGUAGUCUAGUGGUUAGAGUGUAGGGGCGGCAGGUAGCCUAGUGGUUAGAGUGUAGGGGCGACAGGUAGCCUAGCGGUAUGAGAUUUCUGUGUUAUGCACUAUAGACCGU
Oncorhynchus tshawytscha (Chinook salmon) is the source of this 328-nucleotide long non-coding RNA. The record is from Ensembl. NCBI's taxonomy places the organism in Eukaryota, Metazoa, Chordata, Actinopteri, Salmoniformes, Salmonidae.